AACGAACGCUGGCGGCAUGCCUAACACAUGCAGGUCGAACGAGACCUUCGGGUCUAGUGGCGCACGGGUGCGUAACGCGUGGGAACCUGCCCUUAGGUUCGGAAUAACUCCCCGAAAGGGGUGCUAAUACCGGAUAAUGUCUUCGGACCAAAGAUUUAUCGCCUUUGGAUGGGCCCGCGUUGGAUUAGCUAGUUGGUAGGGUAAAAGCCUACCAAGGCGACGAUCCAUAGCUGGUCUGAGAGGAUGAUCAGCCACACUGGGACUGAGACACGGCCCAGACUCGUACGGGAGGCAGCAGUGGGGAAUAUUGGACAAUGGGCGAAAGCCUGAUCCAGCAAUGCCGCGUGAGUGAUGAAGGCCUUAGGGUUGUAAAGCUCUUUUACCCGGGAUGAUAAUGACAGUACCGGGAGAAUAAGCUCCGGCUAACUCCGUG
RNAcentral lists this ribosomal RNA (433 nucleotides) under uncultured bacterium. RNAcentral describes it as "partial 16S ribosomal RNA". It matches the Rfam family "Bacterial small subunit ribosomal RNA", at positions 29 to 507 of the family's 1533-position model. The record is from RNAcentral.